RNAcentral lists this ribosomal RNA (30 nucleotides) under Pythium catenulatum. RNAcentral's name for it is "partial 28S ribosomal RNA". Lineage: Eukaryota; Oomycota; Peronosporomycetes; Pythiales; Pythiaceae. The record is from RNAcentral.
UUGGACCUAUAUCUAAGCUGAAGACAGACA